GGAAUAUUGGACAAUGGGCGGGAGCCUGAUCCAGCCAUGCCGCGUGCAGGAUGACGGCCCUAUGGGUUGUAAACUGCUUUUAUACGGGAAGAAACGCACCUACGUGUAGGUGUCUGACGGUACCGUAAGAAUAAGGACCGGCUAACUCCGUGCCAGCAGCCGCGGUAAUACGGAGGGUCCGAGCGUUAUCCGGAAUCAUUGGGUUUAAAGGGUCCGUAGGCGGGCCUGUAAGUCAGGGGUGAAAGUUUGUGGCUCAACCAUAAAAUUGCCUUUGAUACUGCAGGUCUUGAGUCAUGGUGGGGUUGCCGGAACAUGUGGUGUAGCGGUGAAAUGCAUAGAUAUCACAUAGAACACCGAUCGCGAAGGCAGGUGACCAACCAUGUACUGACGCUGAUGGACGAAAGCGUGGGUAGCGAACGGGAUUAGAAACCCUGGUAGUCC
This 441-nucleotide ribosomal RNA is filed under the name uncultured bacterium. RNAcentral's name for it is "bacterial SSU rRNA". It matches the Rfam family "Bacterial small subunit ribosomal RNA", at positions 358 to 796 of the family's 1533-position model. The record is from RNAcentral.